AGCCCCUUGAGCCUCUCUAUAAGGGGUCAGGCCUGCCCAGUGGGAGAGACCCUCCUAAACGGCCGCGGUAUCUUGACCGUGCAAAGGUAGCAUAAUCACUUGUCUCUUAAAUGGGGACCCGUAUGAAUGGCUCUUCAUCCUCUACCUGUCUCCCUUUUCCCCCGCUCAAACUUCUAUUUACGUGAAGAAGCGUAAUUCAGAAAGAAAGACGAGAAGACCCUGUCGAGCUUCAGCCUACCCUGUAAACCAACCAUACUCCUCCUAGGAGAAAGCCCUUUUGCAGGUCAAGCUUUGGUUGGGGCAACCAUGGAGAAAAGACAUCCUCCAGUUCUAUAGGAAGAAAACUCCUCCCCUUUUUACCACCUAGAGAACCAAGAUUCUUGGGAAACGGAAAAAGUUACCGCAGGGAUAACAGCGUUAUCUUUUCUGAGAGCCCUUAUUGACGAAAAGGAUUGCGACCUCGAUGUUGGAUUGGGGUAACCAAAGGGUGCAGCAGCUCUUUUAGGUUGGACUGUUCGUCCAUUAAUUCCCUACAUGAUCUGAGUUCAGACCGACGUGAGUCAGGUCAGCUUCUAUCUUCUAUUUAUUCUUCCUAGUACGAAAGGACCGGAAAAAGGCCUUAAAUAGUUUUCACAAAAAGGCAAAAACAACAAAAAAAAAAAAAAAAAAAAAAAGAACCUCUACCAAAAAUACAAUGAGAUAAAACUUUUGAUAAAGUUUUCGUUCAUUACAUUUCUCAUACAAGGAACAAAGAGAAAAAAAACUACAAGGGUACCCCCUUUGGUUUUUUUCAGUUUUUAGAGUAAAUUGGAAAUUUUAACAGUUUCAAGACAAAUAGUCAUAUGAAAGUUUUCAAUUAAGAAAC
RNAcentral lists this ribosomal RNA (865 nucleotides) under Stichopus chloronotus. RNAcentral's name for it is "partial large subunit ribosomal RNA". The stretch from base 1 to 736 matches the Rfam family "Bacterial large subunit ribosomal RNA", at positions 1817 to 2925 of the family's 2925-position model. The record is from RNAcentral. Lineage: Eukaryota; Metazoa; Echinodermata; Holothuroidea; Aspidochirotida; Stichopodidae.